This is a long non-coding RNA of Alosa sapidissima (American shad), 1081 nucleotides long. RefSeq lists it as uncharacterized. The transcript has 3 exons. The record is from RefSeq and is a predicted model, not a curated record. Lineage: Eukaryota; Metazoa; Chordata; Actinopteri; Clupeiformes; Clupeidae.
GAAUUCACAGGUGACACCUGUGCCAGUGUUCUGAUUAGCCCGGGAACUACUCUGGGAGCUUAAAGGCACAAUGUGUCUUUUUUUGUGAACUUUUGAAGUGUAAUGCAUUCAAAAAUCAACUAUACAUAUCAAUAGAAUGUGAAGAAAUAACACUACUGACAUUUUCUAAUCGAAGAAUAUGCAUAGCAUUGCAGAGAUCUCCUCUAGAAUUAGCGUGCUAACCGACUUGCCCCGGGUCGUCCAGUCUUGCAAUACCAGUUUAUGUCUGAGGUGGCGACAGGGAGUAACAUACCGGCCAAACCGUCUUCAGUGCAGCCCAGAGCAGUCGAGAAAGAGACGACGCAAUUACGCACGCUCUGCUCCCACCCCCUCCUGCUCCUCCCCUCCCCCACGGAGUUAAAGUUCUACAGUGAAGUGUACUGCGAGAAUGGCCGAAAGUUCUAGGAAGAGACCUCCAUCGCCUCCAGCUAAAAAAAACUCGAUCUGAGGCGAAAAGAAUAUCAGAUGGGAAGCAAGCAAAUACACGUUAAUCUAGGGAGUGCUUUCCACCGAUGGAGACUGCUUGGAUAGCAAGGAGAUGCAGUUCUAUUCUGAACUUGCGACAUUUCUUCUUGACUGGAUCAGAAUUCCAGUCCAGUCCUCCCCUAGGAAGGUGUAACGAUUACAUUGCUGUUGCCCAACAGAUUGGUGUGUCAACAGGUUGAAUUUCCUGCUGCAGAUCACCUCUUCUUUUCCUGUGGCUCAUCAACAUGAAGCCUGACUCGUUAGCCCAACUUCUUGCUGUUGAAGACUACUAAGGACUAUCCAUGUGCCCAGCUGCUUCCCUCCUGCCUCAUAUAGUCCAAAAGUUACAUUUCUAUUCAUGUUGUUGCACUUGGUAGAUGUAAAGUUUAUUCCUGUCUUGUAGUUUUAUAAUAAAUACCAGGAAUCAGGAUUGGUGAAACAUUGGUUGUGCCUGAAAGUGUUCUUUGAUCAAGAUUGGUAUACUAACAUCAUGCUUUUCGCUCCUGUUCCUGACUUCUUAGAAUCUAUUUGUUGUUAAAGAGUUGUUUAAACUAAUAUGUAAUUUCAAGUGGUAGCU